ACAGAGGUCUUUAUGCAAUGCCGUUGCUACCUAAACAGUGCACUUUUGUCGAUGACAUUGGUUCCUAGAAAACGUCACAACAAAUCUUAAAAUGAGCAAAGAAGACGCAGAAAAAAAGGAGCUACCAUUAAUUUUAAAUGGUACUUUCUUUUUACCGGACGGGAAGUGCAAACUGUGUGUGAACAAAACUAUCAAAUUUGAUGAAAAGUCAACCGGCAACUUGCAUAAACAUCUGAAGAGGGUUCACCCGAACAGUUAUUCUUCGUAUGAAGCUUUGAAAGCGAAAAAUUCAAAAAUAGAAGUGAAAAUUUCCGGUGAUCUCAAAAAAAGAAACCAAUGUGACUUAUGUUUAUAUCUUUGUAUCUCAGAAAAAGAAACUGAUAAUAAAAAUUUCAAAUUUAAAAAAA
Long non-coding RNA from Drosophila elegans, 407 nucleotides. RefSeq lists it as uncharacterized. Lineage: Eukaryota; Metazoa; Arthropoda; Insecta; Diptera; Drosophilidae. The record is from RefSeq and is a predicted model, not a curated record. The transcript is spliced from 3 exons.